Molecule: long non-coding RNA, 1386 nt
Organism: Equus caballus (horse)
Lineage: Eukaryota; Metazoa; Chordata; Mammalia; Perissodactyla; Equidae
Source: Ensembl
CGCACAGAAGAGUACACUUAAGGUCGUGCCUUUCACUGUCAGCAAUCUUGGCCUCAAAAAGAAAAGAACCAUCAACAAAUAUAGUUCCUGAUAUGCCUGCUGAAGUGUUUAGGGGGAAGCAAACUGACAUUGGCAGCUUACAUUGAAAUGCCUCAAAAAAGGAAGAUGAAUUGCUGGGAGGAAAGAGGACUAGAGGGACUGAGCUGUGAUCAAGCAAGGAGAGGAAAGGACAGCAGUCUCAGCGCUGCGCAUGCGGUGGGGACGGUGCAGGUCCUUCAACUUUUCCGUGUGUUGGAACAUUUUUAUAAUAAAAGGUUGGAGGCUCGGAGAAAUGAAGUGGACCUUGGAAGUCACCAUCAACACCCAGAAGGAAAAGGCCCUGGGUGUUGUCCACAGAGCCAGAGCUGGCAGGAGCCCUGGAGACCCGCUGAAGCCCUGGGCCGCUUGCCUACGGUGGUGCCGGGGGUUCCCGGCCUCAGCGCGGAUGGAGGCCUGGCUCCUGCGGAUCCCACAGGAAGGCGGGAUUUGGGCGUUUUCCAGACAGCGCUCUCAGAUCAUGGAGACCCCUUGCCAGCCGUCAGGGAGCAUCUCCCCUCUGAGGCGCUGUGCUGCGCCCAGAGCACCCUGAGAAGCGGCAGCACUGGACUUCAGCCCUGACAAUAGGAUGGCGUUGACGAGGGGGAUCAUUUAUUGGGGCUUUUCUCUCUGCUGGGCAGCACGUGAAGCCGGAGCGUUUACAUCCACCCCGUCAUUUAAGGUUUGAACGACCCUGUGAAGCAGCCUGGAGAGCAGAGUCCCCGGAGUCCACAAGCCUGGUGAGGCAGGCACCAGCACUGAUGCCAACAGCACAUCACUGGCCUCAGACACUUACGGCAGUGCUGCCACAGGAAAGACAGCCGCAAGGGAGGCUGUCCGGUGGCCUGCUCACUCUGAGGAUGCAGCCCAGCCUGGGCACUGCAGGAUAGAUGCAAGAGGAGAGAAGAUGCCAAGCUCCCAGGACCUCAAACACACCUCAGGGCCUUUGCACGUGCAGUUCCCUCCAUCAGUUCCCAUGCCUUCCCUGCUCCAUGCCAUCUAGAAAAUGGCUCCACAUCUUUCAAGUGUCAUGUCCAAUGCCCCCUUCCCUGUGAAGCCAGCCCCACCGUCCCGAGCCUCCGCAGUGUCCAUCAUUCUUCCAUUGGAGCCUGCAUUCCCCUGCGUGGUGUUUAGAACCACCUUGCUUCCCCCCACCCCCCACUGCCUGCCCCUUCAGACCCUGAGCCCCUGGGGGGCACAGGCCAGGUCCCAUUUCACGGUGGCAGGAAGAAAUGAACCAACCACAGAGGGGUGAGACCUGCCCAGUUGAGAGCACCACAGUGAGGCCAGCAAAAGCAGGGAGGCUGGCGG